AUGUACCCCUUCGCUGCCUUAUCCCCUCGUCCUCGAGGAAAAAAAGAAAAGAAGGAGACGAGGAGCUCGGCGGCGACCACCACCAGGGAGCUCGGCGGCGACCACAGGGAGCCUGGCGGCGAGUCCCAAGGAGCUCGGCAGCCACCCCAAGAUUUGUGAAUUGUCCGUCGAUCUGCAGGCCGAGUGAAGAGUUCAGAGUUCAGGUCCAUGGAUGAUACUCACACAACCGUACUCCCUUCCUUUCGCAGUAUUCGUUCUACAAGUCAUUGUUAAUUUGCUUUAUUCAGAUACUCUUAAGUAACAAACAAAGUCACGAGUCCUUAUUGCACCUUCAGAUCGUAUAUGUAAUAUCUUUCUCAUAUUUCAUUUAAGCAUACUGGAUACUAGUUGCUCUUGUCAGCAUUCCCAUAUUGUAUGCAUGCAGUUUUUCUUUUGUUUCAGCUAUUACCGAACAAGUUUAUUCAAUUCAGUUAGUUUGAUGGCUUAUAAUGUCAAGCAUUCCUGUUCUAACUACUGCCCUGGACAAGGAUUUAUCUGAAAAGACAGUGGCACAGAACCCAGAAAUUUUACUUUACUGCCAGGCUGGAAGGUACUUCCUCCGUCCCAUAAUAUAAGAGCGUUUUUUACACUAGUGUAAUGUCAAGAACGCUCUUACAUUAUGGGACGGAGGUAGUAGAUUAUAUCUCCUUUCAUUUGUUGUUGACAGCAUCCAUAUGUUCUAUAUGUUCUUUUAGUAACUCGGUAUAUGCAAUAAAUUAUCUGUAAUUUUUUGGAAUCAAAUUUGUGUUGCCUUCACUAAUAUAUGCAUAUUUUGCAGGCUUUUAAUCCAAGUACUUUUGCUGGUUGGUUUGGUCGAUCAUUAUAUCAUGCAGUUGUUAUUUUCUUAAUCACCACUCAUGCUUAUGCCGAUGAAAAAAGUGAGACGGAGGACACUAGCUGGUCAAGAAUAAGAGCUCAGUUUAUGAGCCCCUGCUGUCUGAUUCUCCCAUGGCAUCCAGGAGAUCACUAGCACCUUUAUGAGCUCAUUUGACACCUUUCAGCCAGCUCAGUCAAGGGUUCCUGCUGCUUAUCCCAGAAAUAUUAAAACCAGUUAACCUUUGGGUGUCAUUGUAGCAGGUUAUACCCUCAACAAAGAAAAAAUAAAUGA
Triticum dicoccoides is the source of this 1147-nucleotide RNA transcript. It is a transcript of the gene named SOSS complex subunit B homolog, with no coding region annotated. The transcript is spliced from 4 exons. Lineage: Eukaryota; Viridiplantae; Streptophyta; Magnoliopsida; Poales; Poaceae. The record is from RefSeq and is a predicted model, not a curated record.